Molecule: transfer RNA, 88 nt
Filed under: Deferribacteraceae bacterium
Lineage: Bacteria; Pseudomonadati; Deferribacterota; Deferribacteres; Deferribacterales; Deferribacteraceae
Description: tRNA-Ser
Rfam family: tRNA
About the family: Transfer RNA (tRNA) molecules are approximately 80 nucleotides in length. Their secondary structure includes four short double-helical elements and three loops (D, anti-codon, and T loops). Further hydrogen bonds mediate the characteristic L-shaped molecular structure. tRNAs have two regions of fundamental functional importance: the anti-codon, which is responsible for specific mRNA codon recognition, and the 3' end, to which the tRNAs corresponding amino acid is attached (by aminoacyl-tRNA synthetases). tRNAs cope with the degeneracy of the genetic code in two manners: having more than one tRNA (with a specific anti-codon) for a particular amino acid; and 'wobble' base-pairing, i.e. permitting non-standard base-pairing at the 3rd anti-codon position.
Source: RNAcentral
GGAGAGAUGUCCGAGUCUGGCUUAAGGGGCGCGACUGGAAAUCGCGUGUGGACUAAAUCCACCGGGAGUUCGAAUCUCCCUCUCUCCG